This is a long non-coding RNA of Polypterus senegalus (gray bichir), 339 nucleotides long. RefSeq lists it as uncharacterized. The transcript is spliced from 3 exons. Lineage: Eukaryota; Metazoa; Chordata; Cladistia; Polypteriformes; Polypteridae. The record is from RefSeq and is a predicted model, not a curated record.
GCGAGGCUGGCUGCAGCGUGGAGGGGGAAGCAUUUUGUUUCUCAUUGAUCUUCAGAAAUGCACAUGAAGAAGAUUGGUAAAGCAAAAUGAAGUCAUAGCAGCGAAUUGAGACAUUUAUUAGGCCUCCACAAUGAAGACACCACUAAAAAGGCCACGGCCUGAUGGGACUCCACGAUAUGUGAACCACAUUUGCAGACCUGGAAAGUGAGGUGCUGAAGUGCAGAAGGCCUGUCUUGGAACUCCUUCAAACAUGGGGUGCCAGCUGUGAACUCGAAAAGGAUGCACCGACAAAAGCAUGCGGGCUGAUGUCAACUUUUGUCAAGAGGUGGAGUUGACGAU